Cyanobacterium stanieri PCC 7202 is the source of this 98-nucleotide non-coding RNA. It matches the Rfam family "Bacterial small signal recognition particle RNA". From Rfam's summary of the family: The signal recognition particle (SRP) is a universally conserved ribonucleoprotein involved in the co-translational targeting of proteins to membranes. Archaeal SRP consists of a 7S RNA and homologues of the eukaryotic SRP19 and SRP54 proteins. The record is from Rfam. Lineage: Bacteria; Bacillati; Cyanobacteriota; Cyanophyceae; Chroococcales; Geminocystaceae.
GACUCGGACUUAUGCGGUUUCGACGCUCAAACUUUGUCAGGACCGGAAGGUAGCAGCAAUACGGGAUGCUUGAAAUGGGCGUAAGAUUCGGGUCUUUA